UACAAGCCUCACUAAGGUGAAACCGCGAAUGGCUCAUUAAAUCACACCUAAUCUACUGGAUAGUUAACAGGUACUUGGAUACCUGCGGUAAUUCUGGAGCUAAUACAUGCGAAAAGCCUCGAACUUACGUGAGAGGUGCUUUUAUUAGAUCAAAACCAAUCGGCUUCGGCUGUACUCUUGGUGACUCUGAAUAACUUUGGGCUGAUCGUAUAGCCUUGCGCUGACGACAUAUCCUUCGAAGGUGUGCCCUAUCAACUGUCGACUGUGGCAUAGACGCCCACAGUGGUUUUGACGGGUAACGGGGAAUCAGGGUUCGAUUCCGGAGAGGGAGCCUUAAAAACGGCUACCACAUCUAAGGAAGGCAGCAGGCACGCAAAUUACCCAAUGAUCGAAGAUCGAGGUAGUGACGAAAAAUAACGAUCCAGGACUCAUCCGAGGCCCUGGAAUCGGAAUGAGUACACUUUAAAACCGUCCCCGAGGAUCUAUUGGAGGGCAAGUCUGGUGCCAGCAGCCGCGGUAAUUCCAGCUCCAAUAGCGUAUAUUAAAGUUGUUGUGGUUAAAAAGCUCGUAGUUGGAUCUCGGCGGACUGAGGGCGGUUUGCUUGCUAGUAUUACUGCCCUAUAGUCCGUAGUUUUGCCAGAGGUUUCGGGGUGCUCUUAAUCGAGUGUCCCGGGAUGCUGGCAGGUUUACUUUGAAAAAAUUAGAUUGCUCAAAGCAGGCUAUUACGCCUGAAUAUUCGUGCAUGGAAUAAUAGAAUAGGAAGUCGUUUCUAUUUUGUUGGUUUUCGGAAAUCGACUUGAUGAUU
Molecule: ribosomal RNA, 805 nt
Filed under: uncultured marine eukaryote
Lineage: Eukaryota
Description: SSU rRNA
Rfam family: Eukaryotic small subunit ribosomal RNA
Source: RNAcentral